CGCUCUGUGUCCUGGGACUUCUCGCUGCUGGGGCGGCCCCUGGACCUGCUGCCGGUUCCCCUAGUCCCGCUGCCACCUGGUCGUUGCCUGUUUUCCACCUUCCUCGCCCAGGUGAUGCUGUGGAGGUGCAACAAGGAGACAGAAAGGCUCAGCUGUGAGCCUCCAUGAGGAGCACCGACACCCACCAGGUGAGGAGCAUUGGCGGAUGCAGGAGCUGCAGGAGAUCGUGGGACAGGUCGCUGUGCCGGGAGUUCAGGAAAGCUGUGACGACCAGCACUGCCCUGGGAGCUGCUGCUGCCGGUGACGGUCUCAACCUGCGCCCAGUCAGCGUCGGCGCUGGAGCUGCGCUUCCUGGUGAGCCGGGGGACGUUUUCCCCCGGUGCCUUCUCCCUGAGGAGCCUGGGGGCUUGUGUCCCUGGUGAGUAACAGCUCCAGCCUCGCUGCCUGUCUCUGUGUCCUGGCCAGGGGCUGCCGACACCGCGCGACGGCCUCGCGCCUCCUUUCUGCGCUCCGCAGCGAAGCCGGGAGCACCACGAGGUUUGUUUCCUCCCGGACAGGAGCCGCCCGGCUCCCUGCUCGCAGCAGGACGAUGCCUCCGCUCGCCUCCCUCCCGCCCUGCGCGGGGCCCCGCUCCUGGCUGGGGACGACCUGCCUGCGCCCGCCUGGCUCUGGGCCUCCUUGGGAGCCUGCUGGGAGCACAGCGGGGGCUCCUCGCAGCUCAGCUCCGGCUCCUUAGGGCUCGGCCUCAUGACAGCAGUGGUGGUGACUGACAAGGUCGUAAAUCAAUCACUGUCACAGCUUGCAUAUUAAUAUCAUAGUUCAGUAUUCCAUACAUACUGCACAGUUAGUUUAUUAACAGUGUACAUACUCCAUGCACACAUUGAAUAAAGAGUCCAAGUCUUGUACAAAUGGGGAAUAAACAGGGGAACUGGAA
This is a long non-coding RNA of Dromaius novaehollandiae (emu), 934 nucleotides long. RefSeq lists it as uncharacterized. The transcript has 3 exons. Lineage: Eukaryota; Metazoa; Chordata; Aves; Casuariiformes; Dromaiidae. The record is from RefSeq and is a predicted model, not a curated record.